Molecule: ribosomal RNA, 98 nt
Filed under: Veillonella parvula
Lineage: Bacteria; Bacillati; Bacillota; Negativicutes; Veillonellales; Veillonellaceae
Also listed under: 1 other name
Description: partial 16S ribosomal RNA
Rfam family: Bacterial small subunit ribosomal RNA
Source: RNAcentral
AUCUUGGAGAGUUUGAUCCUGGCUCAGGACGAACGCUGGCGGCGUGCUUAACACAUGCAAGUCGAACGAAGAGCGAUGGAAGCUUGCUUCUAUCAAUC